This 937-nucleotide long non-coding RNA is filed under the name Mytilus galloprovincialis (Mediterranean mussel). The record is from RNAcentral. Lineage: Eukaryota; Metazoa; Mollusca; Bivalvia; Mytilida; Mytilidae.
GGGGUAUAGAAAUAUGGUCAUUUGGUCUUCUCCCGACCGGCAGUAAAACGCUUGUCGAAGUGGGGCGUCCGUUUGGCUGUGCGGGAUGUAUCAAGUUCGCAGUCACGUCCGGUCAGAAGGGGACGUUAAAUCCGAUGCCUCGUGUAAAGAGAGUGCCACGCUCUUUGCACGUUAAGAACCCUUGCAACAACUCUUUGAGGGGUCCGUGGGUGGCCUUUUGCAAGGCAAAAUUUCUGUCUAUCCAAUAUACCCUCAUUUUCCAGUGGCAGUCCAAAUUUCCCCGACCAUCAUCCUCUAUUAUAACAACCUACCUAUUGUAUUUAUUGUUAACUUGUUCUCGUCCUGAAUAUGCAUGAAAUAUUUGCCACUGGACGUUAAGCAACAAACAAUCAAUCAAUCAAUCCUCAAACCAAUGGGCUCACAGAAAGGUUUAACCAGACCCUGUGCAACUCACUCGGGAAGUAUGAAAAUGACUGGGACCAAUAUCUACAACAAGUUGCCUUUGCUGAGAGAACAUGUGUCCAGAAGUCAACAAAGCAGACUCAUUUUUCCUAGUAUAUGGCAUAAAACCUACCUUACCAAUAGAGCUAGACAUACCCUACAGCCAUGCCUUAAGACAAAUCAAAUGAAGUAGAACUGAACGAUAGAAUUACGUCAUUUGUCCAUCUGAUUAAGACCCAGAAAGACACCAAAGAAGAAUAAAAAAACUCAAGACUAAGCAGAAAGAGUACCAUGACAGAACCACUAGAAACCAUUUCUACCUGGUGAUCGAAUCAAUAGAUGUGGGGACAAGAUAGUGCACAGAUGGACAGGACAAUUAAUCAUACUAUAUAGAGAAAGGUGUCUAAAAGGUAAACGGAAGGAAGACAGUUCUUUUUGCAAAGAGCCAGAAAUAUGCAUUUUUUUAAUCCAACAUAAAUAAUAUACAACAGUACAG